CCUACGGGAGGCAGCAGUGAGGAAUAUUGGUCAAUGGGCGCGAGCCUGAACCAGCCAAGUAGCGUGAAGGAUGACUGCCCUACGGGUUGUAAACUUCUUUUAUAAAGGAAUAAAGUGAGGCACGUGUGCCUUUUUGUAUGUACUUUAUGAAUAAGGAUCGGCUAACUCCGUGCCAGCAGCCGCGGUAAUACGGAGGAUCCAAGCUUUAUCCGGAUUUAUUGGGUUUAAAGGGUGCGUAGGCGGCCCGUAAAGGUUGGUGUUAAAGGCAGAGGCUCAACUUCGGUACGGCACUGGAUACUUGCGAGCUAGAAAGCGGUAGAGGUAAAGGGAAUGCCUGGUGUAGCGGUGAAAUGCUGAGAGAUCAGGAGGAACAUCGGUGGCGUAAGCGCUUUACUGGGCCGUAAUUGACGCUGAGGAACGAAAGCCAGGGUAGCAAAUGGGAUUAGAUACCCUGGUAGUC
This 460-nucleotide ribosomal RNA is filed under the name uncultured bacterium. Its description in RNAcentral is "partial 16S ribosomal RNA". It matches the Rfam family "Bacterial small subunit ribosomal RNA", at positions 338 to 795 of the family's 1533-position model. The record is from RNAcentral.